This 569-nucleotide ribosomal RNA is filed under the name uncultured marine eukaryote. RNAcentral describes it as "SSU rRNA". It matches the Rfam family "Eukaryotic small subunit ribosomal RNA", at positions 613 to 1186 of the family's 1831-position model. The record is from RNAcentral.
UUGCGGUUAAAAAGCUCGUAGUUGGAUUUCUGUCGAGGGUGGUCGGUCCGCACUAUGUGCGUGUAUCUGAUUCGGCCUUGACAUCCUCUUGGGGAACGUGUCUGUGCUUGAUUGCAUGGUGCGGUAUUCAAGACUUUUACUUUGAGGAAAUUGGAGUGUUUACGGCAAGCAUACGCUUUGAACACAUUAGCAUGGAAUAAUAAUAUAGGGCCCGGGUUCUAUUUUGUUGGUUUCUAGAGCUUGGGCAAUGAUUAAUAGGGAUAAUUGGGGGCAUUCGUAUUAACGCGUCAGAGGUGGAAUUCUUGGAUUGCGUUACGACGAACUACUGCGAAAGCAUUUGCCAAGGAUGUUUUCAUUGAUCAAGAACGAAAGUAUGGGGAUCGAAGACGAUUAGAUACCGUCGUAGUCUAUACCAUAAACUAUGCCAACUAGAGAUGGGCGAUCGUUAUUUUUUUGACUUCGUCCGCACCUUAUGAGAAAUCAAAGUCUUUGGGUUCCGGGGGGAGUAUGGUCGCAAGGCUGAAACUUCAAGGAAUUGACGGAUGGCACCCACCAGGAGUGGAGCCUGC